CUGCCCAGUGACAUAUGUUUAACGGCCGCGGUAUCCUAACCGUGCAAAGGUAGCAUAAUCAUUUGCCUAUUAAUUGUAGGCUAGAAUGAACGGAUAAACGAAAUAAAAACUGUCUCAGUCAGUAACCUAAAAAUUAAUUUUUGCAUGAAGAAUUGCAGAUAAAAUCGAAGGACAAGAAGACCCUAUAGAGCUUUAUUUUACAUACAGAUUAUAAAACUGUACAAAAAUUCGGUUGGGGCGACCAAGGACAUUAUCAAACACCCUUAAUAAAAAGAUAUAUUAAUCUAUAAAAUGACCCUUAUUAAGAUCACAAAAUCAAGCUACCUUAGGGAUAACAGGCUAAUCCUAUUUAAGAGUUCAUAUCUACAAUAGGGCUUGGCACCUCGAUGUUGGCUUAGAGAAUCAAUAUAGCGCAAAAGUUAUAUAAAGAUGGUUUGUUCAACCAAUAAUUCUCU
This 455-nucleotide ribosomal RNA is filed under the name Microscolex aucklandicus. RNAcentral's name for it is "partial 16S ribosomal RNA". It matches the Rfam family "Bacterial large subunit ribosomal RNA", at positions 1859 to 2597 of the family's 2925-position model. Lineage: Eukaryota; Metazoa; Annelida; Clitellata; Crassiclitellata; Megascolecidae. The record is from RNAcentral.